AUUGAACGCUGGCGGCAGGCCUAACACAUGCAAGUCGAACGGUAACAGGAAACAGCUUGCUGUUUCGCUGACGAGUGGCGGACGGGUGAGUAAUGUCUGGGAAACUGCCUGAUGGAGGGGGAUAACUACUGGAAACGGUAGCUAAUACCGCAUAACGUCGCAAGACCAAAGAGGGGGACCUUCGGGCCUCUUGCCAUCGGAUGUGCCCGGAUGGGAUUAGCUAGUAGGUGGGGUAACGGCUCACCUAGGCGACGAUCCCUAGCUGGUCUGAGAGGAUGACCAGCCACACUGGAACUGAGACACGGUCCAGACUCCUACGGGAGGCAGCGGUGGGGAAUAUUGCACAAUGGGCGCAAGCCUGAUGCAGCCAUGCCGCGUGUAUGAAGAAGGCCUUCGGGUUGUAAAGUACUUUCAGCGGGGAGGAAGGGAGUAAAGUUAAUACCUUUGCUGAUUGACGUUACCCGCAGAAGAAGCACCGGCUAACUCCGUG
This 490-nucleotide ribosomal RNA is filed under the name uncultured bacterium. RNAcentral's name for it is "partial 16S ribosomal RNA". It matches the Rfam family "Bacterial small subunit ribosomal RNA", at positions 30 to 507 of the family's 1533-position model. The record is from RNAcentral.